GCAGCCCGGGGCGCGCGCCCGCUCACGUACCGGCCGCCCGCGCGCCGAGGGGAAUCUGCCCCACGGCGCGGGGCGCCCCGGCAGCCAAGCCGCCAGGUGCUGCCCGGCAGGAGCGGGGCGAGGGCCCGCCCGCCCGCCAGUCAGCGUGUGAUGCUACCCCGACUGCUUCGGUGCUGCCGUAAGCCCGAACUCGAGAGUUUCUGAGGGCACCUGAGCAUAAAUAGAAGUUACUCGGACAGGUAAACUCCAUUCACACAGGCCGCAGGUACCACAAAACAACAGUCACUACUAGCUUACCUUGAAAAACCAAGCUGAGCACCGUGGUGGUUCAUCAGAGUUUCGACCAUUUCUGCCUUGGCUGGUGUGAACGGCCAAAGGCAGCAACAGCUCCAACCCUCCCAUUCUGACUUGCCGUACUUGCCUGCCAGAGACUUGGUUUCCUGCAAAUGCCUGUCAUGCCUGACUUUGAGCUCCGAGUAAAGCCGUUCCUAAAACGGAUUCCUUUCUAGCGUUUCUCUCCAUGCUCAUAGUCUUGAGUAAUAGCACGUGGCACACUUGGAGAAGACAUCUGUGAUCUACACUAAGCUUAUAGAAAUGUAAAUGUCUUUGAGACUUCUAACUCCCCUACGCUGGAAGGAGCCAAUGAUUCCAAAUACAAUUAGGUGAGAUGGCCAGGCACAUGGUGUGAUGGCAUAAGAGCUGUUUGCUGAGGAUAUAUUGCCAAAUACUUAAUGUGUAUUCUUUGGAAUUUACCAAAUUCUUCCAUCUAUUUGUCUAAGCAAUCUGCAGCCUGAAUGUAUCUAUUUAAAUAAUGAAAAUGACAACAGAAAGCAGAAGAAGAAAAAGUGGUGGAUCUGCCAAGUAUCUGCAACACAUUCUAUAUUAAGAAGAAGGAAACUAUAAAGGAUUCUAUUCCGUAUGGUGCCACAGCAGCUUUGUUCCAGUGUUUGGUAGUAAAAUCUCAGCCCCCAAAACCAGAUGUCUUUGUGGCAAAUAAAUCCCAUCUGCAAGACAGAAGUUUGUGGAGAGAACUUAAGGAUGCUCUCCUAUUCCCCAGCACACUGAAUUUUUAAAGGUGGGCUUCUUUCUAUCUAUCAUUCAAUUUUAAAUAGUUUGAGACCACAAAGCUGUAAGGAGGAAAGUGAAGGAUCCGGGACAAGGAUUGCACAGCAUAGUCCAAGUGAUAGGAAAUAGGGAGAAACAGAGAUGGAGAUGCCACAUGAUUCUAAAAUGAAAAUACCUGUACCCCCACUUGCAGCCCUUUUAAAAUUGUAUUGGAUACUAAUGUCUUAUUAUCGAGGUGUUUGGUGCUUGGGAAUAUGUAGAGGGCAGAGAUGUACAGAAGGCAUUUGGUAAAAAUGAGCAGUCGAUUGCUAUUAUUGCAACAACAAUUAUCUGCCAUUACAGGCGUUCCCUUUAUUCAAUCAGCUAAAGUGGCAAUCAACUGUAAACAAGUGAGUCACAAGGCAGUGGCUCACCUUGCUUGUCUUUCUGAGAUCUGCCAACUCGUGACAUGCAGAACCCUGAGGUGACACCCAGUGACCCCUGUGAAGGGGUACAGAAGAAAUGAGACAUGCAGAAGCCAGCAGUGUGGAUUAGAGAGCCUAAGGUAGUCAACAGCCACAGUUAAAGACUGGGCACAAGUCUAAGCAUAUCUAAGCUGGAAACGUACCUCUAGGUUGGAGGGAAAUGCCUUUUCAACCAGAAUUCAGAAAUGUCUUUUGGAGGUUUAAAUUAGUCAAGUAGGUCAGCCUCUUCUCAUAAGACAAAAUAAAACCAAAGUCCUUAACCAAGGGUUUUUCAGGAGUUUUUGAAGAACAAGUUAGGGAAACAUUUUUCAAUACGAAGAAGCUUCUGUGAACAGCUAGAAAGGGACAAGUGACAGGAUGUAAGGACACCACUCCUGCUUCCACAUGGCACCUGCCAUCACAAAUGUGUGGAAAGAGGAAACGACAAAGUUAUUUCUUACCUGAAUUGUAUGCACAUGCAAGCUUUAUAGUUUGACUUGUUUUGCUGUCAAAUGGUUCAACUUAUCCUGACAUUUGUACAGUCAUGAAAAUUACAUAAAGAAACUUUUGUCAAACUUGA
This is a long non-coding RNA of Vidua macroura (Pin-tailed whydah), 2088 nucleotides long. RefSeq lists it as uncharacterized. The transcript has 2 exons. The record is from RefSeq and is a predicted model, not a curated record. Lineage: Eukaryota; Metazoa; Chordata; Aves; Passeriformes; Viduidae.